GUGGCCCCAACAGUGAAGGCUAACAUGCACUGAUGGCAGACCACCACUGACUACGCCCAAUAGAGAACUGCAAGUUUUAAGUGUCUGGAGCUUACUUAUAACCAGCAACUUGCGCUCAGAACCCAUGCCACCUCAGCUAACACCACCUAACUUUUUACUUCUCUGAGGGCACCAGGACAGCCAGAUGCUCUCGACAACUGUCUGGAAUAGCCUUUCUUCUGUAUACACCAGUGUGCUGCCAAGGCAUUGUUCUGGGCUAAUUCAAGUCAGGCGAGAAGGAAAUCUUAGCUGCAUAGAAGGUAUGACUCAUCAGCCAGAGGACACUGAGCAAGAAAGAUCUCCAGUGUGUUGGUUCCUGGCCGGUGCUCAGGCGAAAAGUCACUCAAGGUAUGGUUCUUUCAUGACCCCAAGGUCACCAAAGGAAGCAAAGGCAUCACCACAUGACAUGGAGGCUGUCGUGUCUUCCUCUCCACAUUUGUUUGACUUGAGGAUGGAGUUUAUGUCUCAGAAGCAGUAUGGCCAGAGUGGGGAUGUGCAGACAAGAUCCAUUUUGCUGUCUGAGCCAUUUCUCAAAUGUUUUUUACUUUUUAAUUUUCUAAGUAUAUAAUUCAGUAUUUUGUAAGUACUGUACAUUCGAAAGUUGUACAAUCACCAUUACUAAUUCCACAACAUUUUCAUCAGCCCCAAAUAAAUCCUGUACCUAUCAGCAGUCACUCCCCAUCCUUCUUCCCCCGCAGCUCCUGGCGACCGCCUUUCUACUUUCUGUCUCUACAGAUAUUCCCAUUCUGGACAUUUCCUAUAAAUGGAAUCCUAUAA
Molecule: long non-coding RNA, 816 nt
Organism: Callithrix jacchus (white-tufted-ear marmoset)
Lineage: Eukaryota; Metazoa; Chordata; Mammalia; Primates; Cebidae
Source: RefSeq, a predicted model, not a curated record